GGCUUCGGCCCCGGUACAGUGGCGCACGGGUGAGUAACACGUAGAUCAUCUCCCCUCGAGUGGUGGAUAACUUUCCGAAAGGAAAGCUAAUACAGCAUAAGACCACGGCUUCGUUGAAGCUGCGGCCAAAGCAGGCCUCUACACGUAAGCUUGCGCUUGAGGAUGAGUCUGCGGCCCAUCAGCUAGUUGGUAGGGUAAUGGCCUACCAAGGCUAAGACGGGUAGCUGGUCUGAGAGGAUGAACAGCCACACUGGAACUGAGACACGGUCCAGACUCCUACGGGAGGCAGCAGUGGGGAAUCUUGCGCAAUGGGCGAAAGCCUGACGCAGCGACGCCGCGUGAGCGAUGAAGGCCUUCGGGUUGUAAAGCUCUGUGGGGAGGAAAGAAUAAGGCUUGGCUAACAUCCAAGCUGAUGACGGUACCUCCUUAGCAAGCACCGGCUAACUCUGUGCCAGCAGCCGCGGUAAGACAGAGGGUGCCAACGUUGUUCGGAAUUACUGGGCGUAAAGCGCGUGUAGGCGGCCCUGCAAGUCGGGUGUGAAAUCCCACGGCUCAACCGUGGAAGUGCACUCGAAACUGCAGGGCUAGAGUCCUGGAGAGGAAAGUGGAAUGCUUGGUGUAGCGGUGAAAUUCGUAGAUAUCAAGCGGAACACCGGUGGCGAAGGCGGCCUUCUGGACAAUGACUGACGCUGAGACGCGAAAGCGUGGGGAGCAAACAGGAUUAGAUACCCUGGUAGUCCACGC
RNAcentral lists this ribosomal RNA (744 nucleotides) under uncultured bacterium. Its description in RNAcentral is "bacterial SSU rRNA". It matches the Rfam family "Bacterial small subunit ribosomal RNA", at positions 76 to 800 of the family's 1533-position model. The record is from RNAcentral.